Molecule: transfer RNA, 67 nt
Filed under: Pseudomyrmex feralis
Lineage: Eukaryota; Metazoa; Arthropoda; Insecta; Hymenoptera; Formicidae
Description: tRNA-Arg
Source: RNAcentral
UCUUACAAAGUAAUUUAAUACACUUAGUUUCGACCUAAGACCUAGGGGUUAAGCUCCCCUGUAAGAU